RNAcentral lists this ribosomal RNA (256 nucleotides) under uncultured Pseudomonas sp. Its description in RNAcentral is "partial 16S ribosomal RNA". It matches the Rfam family "Bacterial small subunit ribosomal RNA", at positions 96 to 354 of the family's 1533-position model. The record is from RNAcentral. Lineage: Bacteria; Pseudomonadati; Pseudomonadota; Gammaproteobacteria; Pseudomonadales; Pseudomonadaceae.
CGGCGGACGGGUGAGUAAUGCCUAGGAAUCUGCCUGGUAGUGGGGGACAACGUUUCGAAAGGAACGCUAAUACCGCAUCGUCCUACGGGAGAAAGCAGGGGACCUUCGGGCCUUGCGCUAUCAGAUGAGCCUAGGUCGGAUUAGCUAGUUGGUGAGGUAAUGGCUCACCAAGGCGACGAUCCGUAACUGGUCUGAGAGGAUGAUCAGUCACACUGGAACUGAGACACGGCCCAGACUCCUACGGGAGGCAGCAGGA